AUUGACCUGCUUGGCCCGUUGCCCCUUUGUUUUUCUAACCUACACAUGAGUUUCGGGAGCAAUCGGUCCUGUAGUCUAUGUCAGGCCGCAUCAGGCGGAAGGCAGAAGCCACAGGUCGGGCACCCACCUGGGAGAGGUGGGUUUUAGAAAAACAGUUGGUGACGACCCGGCGGGCAUAAC
RNAcentral lists this non-coding RNA (180 nucleotides) under Desulfotomaculum sp. RNAcentral describes it as "6S RNA". It matches the Rfam family "6S / SsrS RNA". From Rfam's summary of the family: E. coli 6S RNA was the first non coding RNA to be sequenced, but its function was unknown until recently. The record is from RNAcentral. Lineage: Bacteria; Bacillati; Bacillota; Clostridia; Eubacteriales; Desulfotomaculaceae.